GCAGUUCUACUCAGUCGGUAGAGCAUGAGACUCUUAAUCUCAGAGUUGUGGAUUUGAGCCCCACAUUGGGCA
This is a non-coding RNA of Podarcis lilfordi (Lilford's wall lizard), 72 nucleotides long. The record is from the annotation of a GenBank genome assembly. Lineage: Eukaryota; Metazoa; Chordata; Lepidosauria; Squamata; Lacertidae.